CGAGAGGGAAACAACCCAGACCGCCAGCUAAGGUCCCUAAAAUUGGCUAAGUGGGAAACGAAGUGGGAAGGCUAAAACAGUCAGGAUGUUGGCUUAGAAGCAGCCAUCAUUUAAAGAAAGCGUAAUAGCUCACUGAUCGAGUCGUCCUGCGCGGAAGAUGUAACGGGGCUAAGCCAGUUACCGAAGCUGCGGAUGCAUCGCAAGAUGCGUGGUAGGAGAGCGUUCUGUAAGCCUGUGAAGGUGGGUUGUGAAGCCUGCUGGAGGUAUCAGAAGUGCGAAUGCUGACAUGAGUAACGACAAUGCGGGUGAAAAACCCGCACGCCGGAAGACCAAGGGUUCCUGCGCAACGCUAAUCGGCGCAGGGUGAGUCGGCCCCUAAGGCGAGGCAGAAAUGCGUAGUCGAUGGAAAACAGGUUAAUAUUCCUGUACUUGUACAUAUUGCGACGGAGAGACGGAGAAGGCUAGGCCAGCACAGCGAUGGUUGUCUGUGUUUAAGGCGGUAGGUUAG
This 508-nucleotide ribosomal RNA is filed under the name Goniomonas pacifica. RNAcentral describes it as "partial Bacterial large subunit ribosomal RNA". It matches the Rfam family "Bacterial large subunit ribosomal RNA", at positions 1012 to 1528 of the family's 2925-position model. The record is from RNAcentral. Lineage: Eukaryota; Cryptophyceae; Goniomonadida; Goniomonadaceae.